Homo sapiens (human) is the source of this 628-nucleotide long non-coding RNA. Lineage: Eukaryota; Metazoa; Chordata; Mammalia; Primates; Hominidae. The record is from Ensembl.
GGCACCCGGCCUCGCCCCGAUUCCCGCGGGACCCUUCGAAUUUUAGGAACUUUUCACUAACGAAACACACUUCUGUGUCAGCACCGACAUCAAGAAGAGAACCUCACCAGCACCUCAGAACCCGCUUUGUCCCUCCCUGGUUCCUUCCCCUGGGUGCCUGGUGUGCUGCCGUCUCACCCAUAUGUAGUUGAGCGCAGCAGCCCCUGUAGGACACCUGGCAGAUCAGGUCACAGUCCUGCUGUGCCCUCGGGCUCACUCGGGAGCUGGGGGCUCCCAGGUGCUCCUCCAGCAGCUCAGUUCAGCAUGCUGGGGGGUCAGGGCCAGCCCCUGUCCCUGGGGCCUCAGGCCUCCCUUUCUUCCCACAGUGGCCAAGAUCGCGGGUCUCUACAAUGACUUGGAGCCACCCCGGAAGACCAUGCGCAGAGGGGUGCUGAUGACCCUGCUGCAGCAGUCGGCCAUGACCCUGCCCCUGUGGAUUGGGAAGCCUGGUGACAAGAGACUACGUGGCCAGACCUGGAGACAAGGUGGCUGCCCGGGUGAAGGCCGUGGAUGGGGAUGAGCAGUGGAUCCUGGCCGAGGUGGUCAGUUACAGCCAUGCCACCAACAAGUGAGUGACACCAGCCCCGGG